GGUGUGUGGCACUGCACGUAUGGUCCUUCCCGGCACCGUCACUGCAGGGGAAGCUCAAAGAUGUAGAAGGCUCAACAAGUGAUGGAGAGAUGUUCAGCGUCGCGGGGAUUGCACUUUAAAGCCCGUACCGGUUUAGUUAUGUGACAAAUAAUAACAGUACGGGAAAAUAAAGUAGUUGGAAAUACUCCAUCCUGAAAGCUCGGUGGGGGAGGGGGGGAAGCAAAGCAAGGGUGAGUGGGGAUAAUGGGGAUAGGAGGAACCGGUUUACACUUGAAGGAAAUGGUUACUUGCACGAUUUCUAGAGCUAUUAAAAACCCAGGCCUUUUAAAGCUGUUGCUGGUGAGAUGGAAACUGAAGUCACAGGCUGUUUCUCAAGGAAAUCAAGUCCUGGCCUGUAGGUGAAAGGCUGGUACCAGCUUACGUAGUAUCCUAUCUCCUGGUUGAAAAGGGAUUCACAUGGAAAGCAGGGCUAAAUUCCUGGCAUAAGGUCAGGAACCCACAGGACCUGUCUCAAAGACAUGAGCUGUGCUUCUUGUCGGGAAUACCCCUCUUCCCGUCCAAGUGAAACACCUGCAGGUCUGGCCAUACGGAACCUGGCAAUGCCAAACCUGCAAGCCAAAGAGGUGAACACGUGUAUUCAGGACACAAAGCUGCAGCUUUAACUUACAUGUGCUUGUUGUCGUGGUUGUUUCUGCAGGCUGAAUUUUCUGUCGGCCGGAUUUUGUGUGGUAUUACACAUGAGCUUUAUGUAUAAAUUUCAACACUUCAGCUUUGUUAAAGCAGGGUUGCUGACUGGCAGAACAGCUGCAUAAUAGCCAAGUUUGCCGCUAAUAUUGCCUGCAAUAUUAGGGACAAACAUUAGAAAGUGUAUUUUGAUUGUUAUGUUACAAUGUUCUUAUUUUACAAAAGAAUCAAGAGAAGUCAUUAACAAUAAAUUCAUUGCAAGGUAUAUUCAACCUUUUCAUCUCUGUACCCAUUACACCUGGCCAACUCACAGAGGCAGAACUGCUGGCUGCAGGGAUUUAGGCCUGUGUGGUGCAUCCAUAUAAACUAGUGGAGAUUAGGCCUACGAGUUUACAACCUCAGGCCUUGUUUGCUCAGACAUUUGCAUGAAUUGCUGUAAUUGAAACUGGUGCAAAUUCCUGUAUGGAUAAUCAUCUUUGGAGGCUGGGGACCCAUGUCUUAGAGGUCUGUGCUUGGUAUCUCUGGACUAGUUUUGGAGGCAUCAUGGGGCGCCUCUGCAUGAAGAUCCCCCUUGCUGUAUUUUCUAACUUAAGAGACGCGUAAGCAGCCUUCCACAUGGGAAGUUUAGGAAGCGGGUGGACAGAACAGGAAAACAGCGUUAUUCAAUUCAGCAUCUGAAAUCUGCUCCAGAAGCAUAAAAAUGCAAAUAAUAUAGGUAUUGUAAAACUUACACUCAAUAACUAAAUCAGGAUUUCAGUGACUGGAGAAAAUAUGUAGGUAUUCUUUAACAGCAUUUAUGUUCUUGUUUUAAACAUCCCUAUUCUUGUAGUAAAAUGUAAUGAAGGGUGAGCUAGCACAUGCUACAUUAAUGCUGUAAAUGAAACAAAAAAACACCAAAACAAAACCCCCUUAUGUAAUAACUAAAAAAAGGGUUCAUGAAAUAGAAAAAGCGAUGUAUCUAACAGUUUAGGAAUGAAUUCUAAUUCUGGGCUAUCGCAGGGCAAGAGAAAUUAAAAUAACUCAGUUUCUAAACUUUCCAUCAUCCCAACUUUUAUAAUUCUCCAGAGAGGUCAAAACUGUGGUCUAAGGCUGAAUGUAAAAUUCUGAGCAAAUGGUUUUACUUUUUUUAUUCCAGUAAAAGUGGAGAUAAUUUUUGUCUAAUAAAAACUGCUUUUUUAAUAAAACCACUCUCCAAAAAUUAUGGCAAUGUUUACACAAUAGAACUGUCCUUUUAACUCUGUCUUUUCUACCAUCUGCAUUGCUCUGUUUUAUCCCAUCUCCUCUGAUCACUCUAUUUAUGACAGUUUAAGUCUUUCCCUAAGACUGCACAUGGUUUGUAUACUUUCUGGGUAUCGUGACAUCAGAACUUAACAGUGAUGGGAUAUACAUAUAUAUGUAUAUAUAACAGAUAUGGUAAGGGGCAAGAAAGCUUAUCUCUAACUUCUGUAUAACUUCCAACUUCUGUGCAGUCCUCACAGACCUCUCUGGUCCUACAUAGGGAUGUUAACUGCAAUGAACAAUAGUAGAAAUAAACCAAAUAGUUUUGUGGAGGUAUUUUGUGUAUUACAAAUUCCAUUAAAACCACUGGGUGACAUAGUUGUCUUAGUGACAUAAAACCCGUCUGCUGUGGUCCCAAGAAAAGGAAAACUCUGCCCCUACCCACAAUUCAAAUAUCAGAGAUGCUGGUUGAAGGUAUUCAGGGAGAGAAGAAAAACAGGAUGUGUACCUUUUAUGAAGGCCACAACUCAAGGAUACAUUGAUGUCUUAAAAUGCAGAGACUAAAGCUAACAUUGCCAUUAAAAAAGGGGGUGAAGGUUACCUGGAAAAUCUGUAUUCCCUCUGUCUUAUGAGACAUC
Molecule: long non-coding RNA, 2540 nt
Organism: Melopsittacus undulatus (budgerigar)
Lineage: Eukaryota; Metazoa; Chordata; Aves; Psittaciformes; Psittaculidae
Source: Ensembl